GGCGCGCCCCGGGCGGGGCGGGGGCACGGGGGGAACGCGAAGAACCUUACCUACUCUUGACAUCCAGAGAACUUUCCAGAGAUGGAUUGGUGCCUUCGGGAACUCUGAGACAGGUGCUGCAUGGCUGUCGUCAGCUCGUGUUGUGAAAUGUUGGGUUAAGUCCCGCAACGAGCGCAACCCUUAUCCUUUGUUGCCAGCGAUUCGGUCGGGAACUCAAAGGAGACUGCCGGUGAUAAACCGGAGGAAGGUGGGGAUGACGUCAAGUCAUCAUGGCCCUUACGAGUAGGGCUACACACGUGCUACAAUGGCGCAUACAAAGAGAAGCGACCUCGCGAGAGCAAGCGGACCUCACAAAGUGCGUCGUAGUCCGGAUCGGAGUCUGCAACUCGACUCCGUGAAGUCGGAAUCGCUAGUAAUCGUGGAUCAGAAUGCCACGGUGAAUACGUUCCCGGGUCUUGUACACACCG
Molecule: ribosomal RNA, 467 nt
Filed under: uncultured bacterium
Lineage: Bacteria
Description: bacterial SSU rRNA
Rfam family: Bacterial small subunit ribosomal RNA
Source: RNAcentral